RNAcentral lists this transfer RNA (66 nucleotides) under Mezira sp. RNAcentral's name for it is "tRNA-Asn". Lineage: Eukaryota; Metazoa; Arthropoda; Insecta; Hemiptera; Aradidae. The record is from RNAcentral.
UUAAUCGAAGCCAAAAUAGAGGCAUUUCAUUGUUAAUGAAAUUAAUGAUAAACUAAUCCGAUUAAA